Molecule: ribosomal RNA, 354 nt
Filed under: bacterium LimA-100-J-206
Lineage: Bacteria
Also listed under: 1 other name
Description: bacterial SSU rRNA
Rfam family: Bacterial small subunit ribosomal RNA
Source: RNAcentral
GAGAGGAUGAUCCGCCACACUGGGACUGAGACACGGCCCAGACUCCUACGGGAGGCAGCAGUGGGGAAUUUUGGACAAUGGGCGCAAGCCUGAUCCAGCCAUGCCGCGUGUCUGAAGAAGGCCUUCGGGUUGUAAAGGACUUUUGUCAGGGAGGAAAUCCCUAGCGCUAAUAUCGCUGGGGGAUGACAGUACCUGAAGAAUAAGCACCGGCUAACUACGUGCCAGCAGCCGCGGUAAUACGUAGGGUGCAAGCGUUAAUCGGAAUUACUGGGCGUAAAGCGUGCGCAGGCGGUUGUGUAAGUCUGAUGUGAAAGCCCCGGGCUUAACCUGGGAACUGCAUUGGAGACUGCACAG